CCUACGGGCGGCAGCAGUGGGGAAUAUUGGACAAUGGGGGCAACCCUGAUCCAGCCAUGCCGCGUGUGUGAAGAAGGCCCUCGGGUUGUAAAGCACUUUCAGUGAGGAAGAACGCCUGGUGGUUAAUACCCAUCAGGAAAGACAUCACUCACAGAAGAAGCACCGGCUAACUCCGUGCCAGCAGCCGCGGUAAUACGGAGGGUGCGAGCGUUAAUCGGAAUUACUGGGCGUAAAGCGCGCGUAGGUGGCUUGAUAAGCCGGUUGUGAAAGCCCCUGGCUCAACCUGGGAACGGCAUCCGGAACUGUCAAGCUAGAGUGCAGGAGAGGAAGGUAGAAUUCCCGGUGUAGCGGUGAAAUGCGUAGAGAUCGGGAGGAAUACCAGUGGCGAAGGCGGCCUUCUGGACUGACACUGACACUGAGGUGCGAAAGCGUGGGUAGCAAACAGGAUUAGAUACCCUGGUAGUC
This 465-nucleotide ribosomal RNA is filed under the name Vreelandella stevensii. RNAcentral's name for it is "partial 16S ribosomal RNA". It matches the Rfam family "Bacterial small subunit ribosomal RNA", at positions 338 to 795 of the family's 1533-position model. Lineage: Bacteria; Pseudomonadati; Pseudomonadota; Gammaproteobacteria; Oceanospirillales; Halomonadaceae. The record is from RNAcentral.